GAUUUAUGUCGGUGGGGAGGGCCACAAAGUGGGAAAUUCGUCGAAUGUGCAAUCGAUGAACGUGUGUGGCA
Molecule: unclassified non-coding RNA, 71 nt
Filed under: synthetic construct
Source: RNAcentral